RNAcentral lists this long non-coding RNA (10487 nucleotides) under Olea europaea (common olive). RNAcentral's name for it is "long non-coding RNA (OEUR_LNC007192)". Lineage: Eukaryota; Viridiplantae; Streptophyta; Magnoliopsida; Lamiales; Oleaceae. The record is from RNAcentral.
AACAAUUCUAGGUGUAACACAUGGGAAGUCACAGUGCAACCUUAAGCACAUUAUUAGCACAAAAGUUGGCAUGCCCAUCCAAAAGAAGUUAUUAUCAAAUGCCUAAUAAUAAAGGACAAUUCCUCUCAAACAGGACCACGUAACCCUAGUUUUCCGUGUCCCCCUAUUGGCAGGGUGCCUGCCCAACAAAAUUCAAUAAUAAAAGUAACAGGAGAAUUAGCACGCCCUGUUUGUCUAACAAAAUUCAAUAAUAAAAGUAAUAAACAUAGAGUACUUUUGUCUAUAUCGACAAGUGAUAGGAGAAUUGUGAAUUAGUUGAAACUACAUCAUUUUAAAUAAGAAAAAUGUUAAAAAUAAUUUCUAUUUUAUAACGCACUAUGUGUAGAACAAUAGAAGAUUAUGAUUCCGAUAUUUCUUAUUUAACAAGAUUUUGUAUUUUUUGUUUAGUCUUAGUCCAAAUUUGUUGUCUAACAAAAAGGGUACAACGGAUCGGUAUUCAAACUAUUCUUAUUUUCUUAGCUUCAGUAAUCUAGUGGUACGCAUUUGAUGUUCAACAUACAUGCCUCGUUUGGUACAUAACUAGUGAUGAAGUUAGGAACUAGAUUUAAUGAGAUCAGGAAUUAACUUCAAAAUUUUUAUUUUCCCAACAAAUCAAGUGGAAUUUCUUAAAAUAAGUCUUGGAUAAAAAGAGAGAGAACUUAAAAACUAGAGUGAAGUCACCAUUCUUGGGAUGGGAUGGAAAACACGUAAGACACCAAUUAUUGCUAGUGAGAGAGAAAAAGUGCGAGUGCGAACAAAUUAGAGAGUGAAGAAAGAAGUGAGAGACGACAAGCGGAGUUAUUUUAUUUCCGAUAAAGUAUAUUAAGUGAAAGUCACAUUUCACCAUUAUUUUCUAUGCACGAAAUUGCAUUUCGAUGUUAUUGAGAAAUAGCAACAUUAGAUAAUAUGAAGAAUUACCUCUUGGUAAAGUUUGUAUGUAAUAUUUUAUUCUUGGACCUGUGCUAGUUAAAUUAUAUUUAAUUUCUAGUUCCUAUGUAUACUUUCUUUAAUUAAUGACACACAAACUAAUUCCAAAAUGAAAAUUGAAUGGAUUUCUCUAUAUCUUGGAAGUAGGUAGGAAGGUUAAAAAAAGUGAAGAAAUAAAUAAAUACAUUUUCAUAUUCAUUCUCGAACGAAAGUUGCAAAGUGAUAUAAAGGGAUCGGUAAAAAAGGACUUAGUUUAUGUGAAUGAUAUCUUUCAAAGCGCGAACCACAUUUUUAUUCUUCAGUGUUUUUAUCUUUUUGUUCCAUAAAUUUUAUACAUUUUGAUCAAUAAAAAUAUUUGAUAAGUGUAACAAUUCUAUGUGUAACACAUGGGAAGUGAAGUGCAACCUUAGUGCAAUAUUAGCACAAAAGUUGGCAUGCCUAUCCAAAAGGAAUUAUGAUCAAAUGCCUAAUAAUAAGGUAAUAAACAUUAGUACUUUUGUCUAUGUUGAAAGUGACAAGUGAAAUGAGAAUUAGAUGGGACUACAUCAUUUUAAAUAAAUAAAAAAUGUUAAAUAUAAUGUCUAUUUUAUAACAAAUAUGCAUUAUAUGUAGAAGAUUAUGAUUCCGAUCUUUCUUAUUUAACUAAGAUUUUGUAAUUUUUUGUAUAGAGUCUGAGUCCAUAUCUAUUGUCUAGCAACAAUGGGACAAUGAAUUUAGACUCAAUCUAUUCUUAUUUUCUUAGCUUUGAUAAUCUAGCAGUACGCAUUUCAUAUUCAAUACGCAUGCUUUGUUUGGUAUAUAACUAGUGAUGAAGGAACUAGAUCUAACGCGAUUAGGAAUGAACUUCAGAAUUUUUAUUUUUCAAACAAAUCAAGUGAAAUUUCUUAAAAUCAAUCUUGGGUGAAGGGAGAGAAAGAGAACUUACAAAACGAGAUGUGAAGUCAUCGUACUUGGAAUGGGACACACAUUAUCGGACACCAGUUCUUGCCUCAAGUAGCAAGAGAGAAAAAAUGUGACGGAGAAAUAAUUAGAGAGCGAAGAAAGCAAUGAGAGAGGAGAAGGGGAGUUACUUUUUAUCUUAUAAGAUAUAUUUUUUAGUGAAAGUCGCAUUUCGUUAUUAUUUUAUAUGCUCGAACUUGCAUUUCAUUGAUAUUAUUGAGGUAUAGCAACAUGAGAUAAUAUGAAGAUUCCCCGGUUGGGAAAGUUAGUAUGUAAUAUUGUAACGGAUAAUUAGAAAAUUAUCUUGGCCAAGAUAAUUGUCUAAUUUCCUGAUUUCUCUUUUGGUUCCAAUUAAGAUUAGCCUUAUAAUUUGUUUUUUCAUAUUGCUCUUUUAUUACAAUAAUGUUUGCUCUUGUAAUUUGCCUUUCCCAUAAAAGGGUAUCUUGUAAUGGCUAUUUAUUAGCAAGAGAAAAGUGAAUAAAAGAAUAAAAUGAAUUUGUCUUCAACCUUGUGUUGAUUUAGGAGUUUUAUUGGUUUACUCGAAUUAACCAAUACAAGGAGGCCUCGGACCCCUCGAAGUGUCCAACCAUAUCACCAUUAUAGGUCGUCAACGCAAGAACAAUCCUUGGUCCUUAUCCGUCAAUCGACCUAUUACUCGAUCCAUAUCCGAAGCACGUAACAACUUGGUAUCAGAGCCAGCCAUGUCCGACCCCCGUGUUGAUAAAUUGGAGGGCGAAAUAGGCUCGUUGCAACAAUCGAUGAAAUCACUCCAGAAAACGGUGGAAUCCAUGUUCGCCAUGUUCUCCCAUCAACGGGAGGAAGGGUCGGACAAAGGACGCGAGAAUGGAGAUGGUUCCUCUUACAUCAACUUUCGAGGAUCUGCGGGUGGAGGAUUCACUGCACCAAAAAUAACAAAGUUAGAUUUUCCACGCUAUAAUGAAAUGAAUGAUCCGAUCGGGUGGAUUUAUCAUGUGGAGCAAUUUUACGAUUUUCACCAAACUGAGGAAGCGGAUAAAUUGCCAUUGGCGGGGUAUCAUUUGGAUGGGGAUGUCCAACUACGGUACCAAAGUUUUAAGGCGAGGCGUGAACUGGGGAGUCUUCAAAUAUGAACUCCAUCUUCGUUAUGGACCAUCGCGGUACCAUAAUUUUUUUGGAGAUCUCACGAAGCUUAAGCAAACAGGGAGUGUUCGUGAUUACCAAAUGGAGUUUGACCGAUUAUUACACCGAGCAGGAUCUCUUUCCGAAGGACAACAAGUGGGGGAUGCUUUAUUAGCGGCUUGAAGGAAAGUUUGCGUGUUGAUGUCCAAGCAUGCAAUCCAGUAUCCUUAUAUGCCGCCAUUGGGCUUGCAUGCCUAUAUGAGUCAAGGCUUAUCGACCAACGUAGAAGUGGGCUCUCAGAGUUUAGGAAGGUCCCCAUGACUCCCGGGCCUUCUCCUAUACCUUCGACAUCACUCACACUGGCACGCAACCCCGUCAUAAAAAGACUAAGUCCAACGGAAUUACAAGAUCGGAGAUCUCGUGGGCUUUGUUUCAAUUGUGACGAGAAAUUCUUGCCGAGGCAUCGAUGUAAGAAAUUAUUUUUCAUCGAAAGCAUAUUCCCUUCUUCGGAGGAAUCCGAGGAUGAAGUAAUUGCGAAAGAAGAGCUUGAAACCAAUAUACCUGAAAUUAGCUUCCAUGCUAUUUCGGGAACGUCAAAUCCAAGAACCAUACGUUUACUUGGCAAGAUUGGGGGUAUCCCAAUUACUAUUUUGAUAGACUCUGGUAGCACCCAUAAUUUUCUUAAUUCUAAGGUGGCUUCCAAGGUGGGAAUCAGGGCUACAAAACCAGGGGCAUUUUCAGUACAAGUGGCGAAUGGCAACAAAAUGAAGAGUGAAGGGUUAUGCGAAUCCACGUGUUUCACUGUCUAAAAAAUUGAUUUCCAAGUUGAUGUUUUCCUUCUACCAGUGGAAGGUUGUGACGCAAUUUUUGGCAUCCAAUGGCUUGACACACUAGGCCAUGUUACUUUUGACUUUAGGGAAUUAUGAAUGAGGUUUCUUAGGGAGGGCAAAUCGGUGGAGUUACGUGGGCAUAGAGGGCCUUCAAACAAACAAACAAAAAAAAAGCAUUGGGUGUCAUGACAUUGUUGCAACUUCCUUGCCACCUAUCCCACAAGAAUCUGCCCCACACCCACUUCCUCAGGCAGUUUUGGAAACCCGGCACGUUAAAAGGAAAUAUGAAUUGUUGAUCCAUUGGCAGAAUCUUUCUCUAGCUGAUGCCACUUGGGAGGACUUUGAUGAUUUCAAUAACCGAUUUCCUUAUUUCCUUGAGAACAAGGAAAUUUCCAAGGGGGGAGGAGUUGUAACGGAUAAUAAGACAAUUAUCUUGGCCAAGAUAAUUGUCUAAUUUCCUGAUUUCUCUUUUAAUUCCAAUUAAGAUUAGCCUUAUAAUUUGUUUUUCCAUAUUGCUCUUUUAUUACAAUAAUAUUUGCUCUUGUAAUUUGCUUUUCCCAUAAAGGGGUAUCUUGUAAUGGCUAUUUAUUAGUAAGAGAAAAGUGAAUAAAAGAAUAAAAUGAAUUUGUCUUCAACCUUGUUAGUGAUGGCAACGGGGUGGGUUCGGGGUGGGUCGGGGUUUAUUUUUACAUUUUGAAAGUUUCGAAUUAUAUUAUUAUUAGAGAAUAAAAUACAAAUUUAAAAUGAGUUUUUAACGGAUGAAUUAUCUAGAAAUAAAAUUAUUAUUAUUUUUUUUUUUAGUUUUUCUUCACGGGGUGGGGCAUCCUCGCCUCCACCCCGCGCCCCGCGACGGGGUGGGUUUUUUUGCCCCAUUCGGGGCAGGGCGGGGCAAAUUGCCAUCACUAAACCUCGUGUUGAUUUAGGAGUUUUAUUGGUUUACUCGAAUUAACCAAUACAAGGAGGCCUCGGACCCCUUGAAGUGUCCAACCAUAUCACCAUUAUAGGUUGUCAAUGUAAGAACGAUCCUUGGUCCUUAUCCGUCAAUCGACCUAUUACUCGAUCCAUAUCCGAAGCACGUAACAAAUAUUUUAUUCUUGGAUCUGUGCUUGUUAAUAAAAUAUUUUGACACAUUUUAUUUUGUUAAUUUCUAGUUUCUAUGUUUUCAACAUUCUUUAAUUGAUAACACACAUAUUAAUUCCAAAAUGAAAUUGGAUUGGAUUUCGAAUGAGUUGUUGAUUAAACGUUAAUAUAGAAUCUGUUUGGGUUUUGUUUUAAAAACAAGAAAUGAAUAGUUGAUAAGCAUAACAAUUCCAAGUGUGACAAAUGGACAGUGAUGGUGCAACCUUAAUGCAAUCUUAGCGCAAAAGUUGGCAUGCCUAUUCAAAAGGAGUUAUUAUCAAAUGCCUAAUAAUAAACAUUGAUACUAUUUUUUAGACUGACCUAACAACUGAUUGGAGAACUAUGAAAUAUAUAGGAAUAUAAAUAUGAAAUGUUCAAAAAUAAUGUUUGUUAUAUAUAAAAAACGUGAAUUGAGUAGAAAAAAUUGAUUUCGAUCUUCCUUCUUUUAACUAAGAUUUUGUGUUUUAUAGAGUCUGAAUCCAAAUUACUUUUUCAUUUUUGCUGUUAGUUUAAUUGUCUCCUCAAUCAAAUUUUGACAUCGAAUUAUUUGAGGGUGUCAAGAUUUAAUUGGGGAAAACAAUAAAAAUUUUCAAAAAGGAGGAGUAACUCAGGGAAGAUUUUGUACAAAUUAAGUAAUUUUAGUGCAAAUUAAUUUCAUUUGAUUAGUUCAUAAGAGUAUAUCCAAGAAACUCUCUAUUUUUAAAGAGUACAUUUUAUCAUUUAGAGAGUUAAAAUCUUAAAGUACUCUAACAAACUCUUUAUAUUUAAGUUUAACACUUAAUUUUAUUACUCCAAAAAAAUGUUUAUUAUUUUUCUAUAUCUUUUAUAUUAACUAGGUUUUCUCUCAACUAUUUUAUUCUUUUCUUACAUUGAAAAUUGAAACAUUUUAAAUGCAUUUAAUAUAAGGAGUGAGUUUGGCUCUCUAAAUUUUGAGAGUCAAACCAACUUUCUAAAUUAAAAUGUUAAUUUAAAGAGUAUCUUGGAGCGUAAUUUUAGGGGUUAUUUUUAAAAUAGAGAGCAUAUUAUAUUCAAAGAGUUUAUUGAAGAUGCUCUAAAUUUGUAAAGUUAUGUAAUUAAUGACGAAUUAAUUAAUUACCCAAAAAAAGUGAGUAAAAUUUCUUUUUGCCCUUGAAGUAGGAAGGAAGAUUAAAAGGGUGCAAAGAAAUUGAUGAAUAAAAUUCACAUUCAUUCUAAAAUGACUUCUUUAUAAAAGAGAGAAUUCAUUCAUUCUUAAUUAACAAAAGAAAUUAUUUAUCGCAAUUCACAUUUUUACUUAUAAGUAAAAUUCUCAAGCUUAGCCAAACGUUCACUAAAUAUUGUGGAAAUUACAUCACAGAUCACACCCUAUUUUUAUCGAUUAUUAUUCAUAAAAGAGGGAGGAGGUUAGUUACGUUAUUCACAAAUCAGAUAUUUUAUAUUUAAAUAUUAAAUGUUAAAUAUAUAAUUUUCAUCCCAAACCUCCCUCUCCUUUCUUUCUAUAUCUCUUCAUACCUACCUCUUUUUUCAUCCCAAAUCCUAAAACCAUUUUCACUAUUUUCUCCCUCCCUUUAUCUUCUCAAUCUAUUCUCUCUUUACUCUUACCUCUCCUAUCGUCCCCACAAUGGUCGCCUGCAAAAACACUGGAGAAGAGAUGGAAGGUCGUCGAAACGAAAAAGGAGUGGUGAUGCGGUGCCGCAUGUAGCUGUCGACGAGAUUUCUUUCUAUGUGCUGCAGAUUUGAUUGGUCAUCAACACAAACUCCGACCAUCGUCACCCUAGUUUUUUUUUUUACUAAAUGAUCUAAUCUAUGAAAUUUACAUAGGAAGACUACGGUUUGAGAAUUGUCGGGGUGGGCGGUGAAUGUUUUGUGGUUUAAGUAGAGUAUUGACGGAGGAUAAUGAAAUUGCAAGAGAUUUUGGGGCUUUUUCGCUGGUGGCUGUAGGUGAUGUAGCAAGAGAAUCCUGUGUGGUGUUUUUUAUAGCGGUGUGGUGGUGUUGGGUGCUUUUUGUUUUUGGGAUUUUUGAGCAGUGGCGGUGGCAGUGGCACUGGUAGUAGAUCUAGCAAUAGCAGUGAUUUUUGUUAUAUUGCCAAGAAAACAAUUUCUAGGCAAUUCAAUUCCUUGAAAUUCAUUUUCUUUCCAUCCAAAUUUCAUCUUUGCAAUCAAACGAACCCUUAGUGAAAAUUCCAUCUCAUCAUUAUUUUCUAUGCUCGAACUCGCAUUUCAUCGAUGUUAUUGAGGUGUAGCAACAUCAGAUAAUAUGAAGAAUUACCACUUGGUAAAGUUAGUAUGUAGAAUUAUUCUUAGAUCUGUGCUCGUCAAUAAAAUAUUUUGAAGCAAAGAUUAGAUAGUUUCAGUGCAAACUAAUGUUAUUUUCUUAAUUUCUUUGUAACAUUCCUUAAUUAAUGACGCACAAGUUAAUUCCAAAAUGAAAAUAGGGUUGGAUUUCUCUAUAUCUUGGAAGUAGGAAGGAGGGUUACAAAAGCGAAAAGAAAUAGAUGCAUAUAUUUUCAUAUUCAUUCUUGUAUGACUCAUUGAUUAUACGUUAAUACAACUAUCGUUUGGCUUUCACUUUAUUUUGUUAAAAUUUACUUUUCAAGAAAUGAAUGAUUGAUAAGUUUUUCAUUUUAUUUUGUUAAAUUUAUUUUUCAAGAAAUGAAUGAUUGAAUGAUAAGAGUAACAAUUCUAUGUGUAACACAUGGGAAGUCACAUUGCAGCCUUAGUGCAUUAUUAGCACAAAAGUUGGCAUGCCUAUCCAAAAGAAGUUAUUAUCAAAUGCCUAAUAAUAAAGAACAAUUCCUCUCAAACAGGGCCACAAAGCCCUGUUUUUCCGUGUCCCCUUAUUGGUAGGGUGCCUGCCUGACAAAAUUCAAUAAUAAAAGUAAUAGGAGAAUUGGUAGGCCCUGUUUUUCUAGCAAAAUUCAAUAAUAAAAGUAAUAAACAUAUAGUACUUUUGUCUAUGUUGACAAGCGAUAGGAGAAUUGUGAAUUAGAUGAAACUACAUCAUUUUAAAUAAGAAAAAAUGUUAAGAAUAACUUCUAUUUUAUAUACGCACUAUGUGUAGAACAAUAGAAGAUUAUGAUUCCGAUCAUUCUUAUUUAACAAGAUUUUUUAUUUUUUGUAUAGUCUUAGUCCAAAUUUGUUGUCUAACAAAAAGGGUACAACGGAUCGGUAUUCAAACUAUUCUUAUUUUCUUAGCUUCAGUAAUCUAGUGGUACGCAUUUGAUGUUCAACAUACAUGCCUCGUUUGGUACAUAACUAGUGAUGAAGUCAGGAACUAGAUUUAGCCCUUGUUUGAUCUCCAUUUUUUCGGAGAAAAUGAAUUCUUCAACAGUGUUUUGACAUAAUUUCAAUUACACAUUCUUCAAUAAAAUAAUAUUAUACACAAAAUCAAAUUGUUUUCUUAACCACACAUUUCACGUCAAUAUACUAUUCAAAAAUUCAUUUUCCCAAUCAAAAUGAGGCUCAAACAAGGGCUAAUGAGAUCAGGAAUCAACUUCAAAAUUUUUAUUUUCCCAACAAAUCAAGUGGAAUUUCUUAAAAUAAAUCUUGGAUAAAAAGAGAGAGAACUUGUAGAAACUAGAGUGAAGUCAUUAUUCUUGGGAUGGAACACACGCUAGACACUAUUUCUUGCUAGUUAGAGAGAAAACGCGUGUGAACAAAUUAGAAAGCAAAGAAAGCGGUGAGAGACGAGAAGCGGAGUUAUUUUAUUCCUGAUAAAGUAUAUUAAGUGAAAGUCACAUUUCAUCAUUAUUUUAUAUGCUCGAACUCAAAUUUUGAUAUUAUUGAGGAGUAGAAACAUCAAAUAAUAUGAGAAUUACUGGUGCCCCCGGGGCAUAUCCCAGUGGUGCAAAAAAAAAGGGUAGGGUAUACUCAGCCUUGCUGGCAGCCACAAUGUGAAGGUUGGAUUCUUGAAAUAUGGAUUAGGACUCGUUGUGGGCACCAGUGUACAAGCAGUUGUUGUUCCCUGACCUGUUGGGGUACAUCCCAAGAUUAAUCUCUCUCACGAUGCUCCAGGGGCUGGGUAGUGAGGGACCCUUAAGGUUGGGGUUCAACAUUUUUUAAGAAUUACUGGUUGGCAAAGUUUGUUCGUAAUAUUUUAUUCUUGGAUCUGUGCUAGUUAAAUUAUAUUUAAUUUCUAGGUCUUAAGUCUGUAUACAUUCUUUAAUUAAUGACACACAAACUAAUUCCAAAAUGAAAAUUGGGUUCGAUUUCUCUAUAUCUUGGAAGUAGGUAGGAAGGUUAAAAAAAAGUGAAGAAAUAAAUGAAUACAUUUUCAUAUUCAUUCUCGAACAAAAGUUGCAAAGUGAUAUGAAGGGAUCGGUAAAAAAGGACUUAGUUUAUGUGAAUGAUAUCUUUCAAAGCGCGAACCACAUUUUUAUUCGUCAGUGUUUUUAUCUUUUUGUUCCAUAAAUUUUAUACAUUUUCAUCAAUAAAAGUAUUUGAUGAGUGUAACAAUUCUAUGUGUAACACAUGGGAAGUGAAGUGCAACCAUAGUGCAAUAUUAGCACAAACGUUAGCAUGCCUAUCCAAAAGGAGUUAUUAUCAAAUGCCUAAUUAUAAGGUAAUAAACAUUAGUACUUCUGUCUAUGUUGAAAGUGACAAGUGAAAUGAGAAUUAGAUGGGACUACAACAUUUUAAAUAAAAAUAAAUGUCAAAAAUAAUGUCUAUUUUAUAACAAAUAUGCAUUAUAUGUAGAAGUUUAUGAUUCCGGUCUUUCUUAUUUAACUAAGAUUUUGUACUUUUUUGUAUAGAGUCUGAGUCCAUAUCUAUUGUCUAGCAACAAUGGGACAAUGAAUCUGGACUCAAUCUAUUCUUAUUUUCUUAGCUUUGGUAAUCUAGCAGUACGCAUUUCAUAUUCAAUACGCAUGCUUCGUUCGGUAUAUAACUAGUGAUGAAGGAACUAGAUCUAACGUGAUCAGGAAUUAACUUCAGAAUUUUUAUUUUUCAAACAAAUCAAGUGAAAUUUCUUAAAAUCAAUCUUGGGUGAAGAGAGAGAAAGAGAACUUACAAAACGAGAGUGAAGUCAUCGUACUUGGGAUGGGACACACAUUAUCGGACACCAUUUCUUGCUUCAAGUAGCAAGAGAGAAAAAGUGUGACGGAGAAAUAAUUAGAGAGCGAAGAAAGCAGUGAGAGAGGAGAAGGGAAGUUACUUUUUUUUUCUUAUAAGAUAUAUUUAGUGAAAGUCGCAUUUCGUUAUUAAUUUAUAUGCUCGAACUCACAUUUCAUUGAUAUUAUUGAGGUAUGGCAGCUUGAUAUAAUAUGAAGAUUUCCGGUUGGGAAAGUUCGAUGAAGGAACUAGAUCUAACGCGAUCAGGAAUUAACUUCAGAAUUUUUAUUUUUCAAACAAAUCAAGUGAAAUUUCUUAAAUCAAUCUUGGGUGAAGAGAGAGAAAGAGAACUUACAAAACGAGAGUGAAGUCAUCGUACUUGGGAUGGGACACACGUUAUCGGACACCAAUUCUUGCUUCAAGUAGCAAGAGAGAGAAAGUGUGACGGAGAAAUAAUUAGAGAACAAAGAAAGUGGUGAGAGAGGAGAAGGGAAGUUACUUUUUUUC